AAGUCGUAACAAGGUUUCCGUAGGUGAACCUGCGGAAGGAUCAUUAACACGUUUCGUUCCGAACGUUUUCUGACCAUCCCAUUUUCCGUGCACAAAAAAUACACCCGACCUCCUGACCUUUCGCUUCACAGUGAUCGUGCCAGGCGCCUUCAGGGAUCAUAGGCAGUUUUUGCGAAAAAUGUUGUUGUUCUGAAAAAUUCACUUCUAGUACGAACAACUUUUUUCUUGCAGAAGCACACCUCCUGUCGGCGUUGCCAAACAACCCAACCCUUAAAUCUAAUUGCUCUGAACUCUUAGUUGUGCUUGAUAUCUUCACUGAUUUCAAGAACAGCGAAUAAAAACAAACAACAACUCUUAACAACGGAUAUCUUGGUUCUC
Molecule: unclassified non-coding RNA, 378 nt
Filed under: fungal sp.
Lineage: Eukaryota; Fungi
Description: partial internal transcribed spacer region
Rfam family: Eukaryotic small subunit ribosomal RNA (bases 1-46)
Source: RNAcentral